UGGGGAAUAUUGCACAAUGGAGGGAACUCUGAUGCAGCGACGCCGCGUGAACGAAGAAGGCUUUCGAGUCGUAAAGUUCUUUUAUAUGGGAAGAUAAUGACGGUACCAUAAGAAAAAGCCCCGGCUAACUACGUGCCAGCAGCCGCGGUAAUACGUAGGGGGCUAGCGUUGUCCGGAAUCACUGGGCGUAAAGGGUUCGCAGGCGGAAAUGCAAGUCAGGUGUAAAAGGCAGUAGCUUAACUACUGUAAGCAUUUGAAACUGCAUAUCUUGAUAAGAGUAGAGGUAAGUGGAAUUUUUAGGGUGGCGGUGAAAGGCGUAGGUAUUAAAAAGAAUACCGGUGGCAAAGGCGACUUACUGGGCACAUUCUGACGCUGAGGAACGAAAGCGUGGGUAGCAAACAGG
RNAcentral lists this ribosomal RNA (403 nucleotides) under Fusobacteriota bacterium. RNAcentral describes it as "Fusobacteria bacterium partial 16S ribosomal RNA". It matches the Rfam family "Bacterial small subunit ribosomal RNA", at positions 355 to 776 of the family's 1533-position model. The record is from RNAcentral. Lineage: Bacteria; Fusobacteriati; Fusobacteriota.